This is a long non-coding RNA of Clupea harengus (Atlantic herring), 2328 nucleotides long. The record is from Ensembl. Lineage: Eukaryota; Metazoa; Chordata; Actinopteri; Clupeiformes; Clupeidae.
CUGAGGAUGGAUCAGAAGAAGACUGGAAUGAAAGUGAGGAGGCCAGUGUAGACCUAGACUUGCUCUUCCUGAAGGACAAUGUAAAGACUGACAUAGAUAGAGGAAAAGAAAGGAGAUUGGAAGAGGAGAACAAAUCAAGACAGCUAGAAGUGGAGACACAGAGAGAAAUUAAAACUGUGAGACUGAAAGAAGAGGAGAGCAAGAGGAUAGCCAUGGUGGAAAAACUGAAAGAGGACGAAGGGAGGAAGAGAGGGAUGGAAGCAGAAAUGGAGAGAAAGGAACAGGAGGAGAGGCUGAGAGAAAAGGAAAGGACCAAACUAAGAGAAGAGGAGAGAAAGAAAAAAGAGAUGCAAGAGAAGACAAAGAGAGAGCUGGAGCAGAUAACACAAAGAGAGAGGGAGGAGAAGGGGAAGAAAGCCAAAGUGGCCAAGAAAUUACUUCAGGCACGUGACAGCGAUGACAUUGACAUAGAGAGCUUGAGUGAUGAAGAUAUGUGGAAGGAUAAGGAGCUCCCAAUGGACCAAAAGAAAAGGCAGACAAAAGACGAAAAGGAACAUGCAUGGCUACAGGAAAAACACAACAAAGAGAAGGAGGAUGAGAAUCCUUGUAACAGGGAUUGCAGUGACCCCAAGACUGUGACUAAUUCAAAUAGUUUGUGGAUGCAUAAGGCCAAGAGCCCAAAGCUGUCAGUCAACAAUGCAUGGAAGAUCCAGCAAUUUGAUAAUACAGAGACUGAUAAUGUCAAACAAGGUCAUUCUGAGGAAGGCGACACACUUGUGAUGACACUCAGUAAUGAUGAUAUGAAUACAUGGACCCAGCUAAAGGCAAAAACAGAUGAAGAGGAUGCAGAGAGAGAGAAACAGAGGCAGAUGGAUGAAAAGAGGAUGAGAGAGGUGGACAAUGGAGGAAAGAAAAAAGAGAGAAAAAAGGGGGAGAUGGUAGCACAGAAAGAAAACAAGACACCCAAGAUGAGCAGAGACUUAGAAAUCGUCCAAAAGAUACAGGAGGAAAGAAAGAAAAAAGAGAUGGAGAAAGCAGCACUGAAGGAGCAAAAAGAUGACAAGAGGAGAAAGAUAGAGAUUGAGGAGGAGAAAGCAAGAGAGGAGGAGAAAAAAGUGAGAGAAAGGGAGGAGAUGAGAAAGACUGAAGAGGUGAUGAACAGGAGGGGGGAGGCUCUGUCAGGAGACAGCAAUGACAGCGACGGGGCAACUGACUCCGAUGACUUGUGGAUGGAUGAGUUGGAGAGACGGGAAACAGAAAGAAAGAGAGAGGAGAUUGAGAAAGUGAGAGUGGAGACAGUGCAAAAAAGAGAGGAACAGGAAAGAAGGAUGGAGGAGAUGGAGCGAAAAAGAGAGAAAGCAGAAAUUGAAAUACACAAAAAAAGGGAGAGGGAGAAACAUGAAGACCAGAGGCAAAAAGGAAAGGAGAGACAAGAGGGAAGUGAGAAUUCAGGAAAAGAAGAGAAGGAGAAGAUGGAGAAGAAGGAGGAUGAGAAAGUGAAAGAGCCACAGACGAGAGACGAGAGGAACACAGAUAUGAUGCGGGAAAUAGAGGAGGAGACCUCCCAGCUGUGGAAGUCCAUGGGACUAUCCUUUGAAGACACUGAGGAUGGAUCAGAAGAAGACUGGAAUGAAAGUGAGGAGGCCAGUGUAGACCUAGACUUGCUCUUCCUGAAGGACAAUGUAAAGACUGACAUAGAUAGAGGAAAAGAAAGGAGAUUGGAAGAGGAGAACAAAUCAAGACAGCUAGAAGUGGAGACACAGAGAGAAAUUAAAACUGUGAGACUGAAAGAAGAGGAGAGCAAGAGGAUAGCCAUGGUGGAAAAACUGAAAGAGGACGAAGGGAGGAAGAGAGGGAUGGAAGCAGAAAUGGAGAGAAAGGAACAGGAGGAGAGGCUAAGAGAAAAGGAGAGAAAGAAAAAAGAGAUGCAAGAGAAGACAAGGAGAGAGCUGGAGCAGAUAACACAAAGAGAGAGGGAGGAGAAGGGGAAGAAAGCCAAAGUGGCCAAGAAAUUACUCCAGGCACGUGACAGCGAUGACAUUGAUGUAGAGAGCUUGAGUGAUGAAGAUAUGUGGAAGGAUAAGGAGCUCCCAAUGGACCAAAAGAAAAGGCAGACAAAAGACGAAAAGGAACAUGCAUGGCUACAGGAAAAACACAACAAAGAGAAGGAGGAUGAGAAUCCUUGUAACAGGGAUUGCAGUGACCCCAAGACUGUGACUAAUUCAAAUAGUUUGUGGAUGCAUAAGGCCAAGAGCCCAAAGCUGUCAGUCAACAAUGCAUGGAAGAUCCAGCAAUAUGAUAAUACAGAGACGGAUAAUGUCAAACAAG